This is a long non-coding RNA of Cephus cinctus (wheat stem sawfly), 818 nucleotides long. RefSeq lists it as uncharacterized. The record is from RefSeq and is a predicted model, not a curated record. The transcript has 2 exons. NCBI's taxonomy places the organism in Eukaryota, Metazoa, Arthropoda, Insecta, Hymenoptera, Cephidae.
UACAAGAUACAAAAUACAAAAAAGUCCACGAUAACCGGCUGGUGAUCCUGAACUUGAACUCUGUCGAGCAUUUCGAGAAAAUGCAUUUAAAAGUGUCGAUGUCGAAAGUGUUCCGAGUGAACGUCGUACGCGUAAGGUUUUGGUGUGGAUGACCGACGCAGACAAUUCGUUUUAAGGAGUGGGAACAUAUUUUUGCAUUAACAAACGUAAAGGAGAAACAAGUACAGCAAGUUGGACAAGGAACGCGGUGGAAUGGACUGGAUGAAAGAUUGGAAGACGCUUCGAAGGACAUGUCUUUUGACAUCCUUUACGUGUCUGUUAGCUGUAUAGGGUGACUGAUAAUUACUGGAGCUUAAGCUUAGUGCAGAGGUUAAAUGGAGUCGACGUCAUAGUUGUCAGGCAUUUUUGAAUUUUAUACGACAAAGGUAACGCGAUCCUCGGCCAUCUUGAAAGGAUUAGAUUCGCUCUGAGAGCGAUAAUAAUAAUACGUGCUCGGCACUUAUUACGAAACUCGAAACUCUUUUACAGCAGGUUUACGCCGAGAGCGGUUAAGAUUACUGGCGGUGUUUUUACUUGGUUAGAAAUUUUCGAGAUUCUACGAAUUUCUUUACACCUUUCUAUGUAAGGAAGCGCGAACCUUGACGAAGUGGAAUAGUGUCCUCGUCGUUUUAUUUACUUUUUACGGAAUUUUUCAAUAUACAGAGGAUUACUCUGGCAUCCGGUUAACGCAAGUUCUCAGGCAUUUGGAUGUUUUAUUCAAGCGAAAAUGCGAAUUUAAGGUCACUUCAGUGAGUGGCAUGUUGGUGGGUCAGGGGUUA